Molecule: ribosomal RNA, 1381 nt
Filed under: Erannis ankeraria
Lineage: Eukaryota; Metazoa; Arthropoda; Insecta; Lepidoptera; Geometridae
Description: 16S ribosomal RNA
Rfam family: Eukaryotic large subunit ribosomal RNA (bases 1097-1256)
Source: RNAcentral
AAAGAUAAAUUAAUAAUUUUAUUAAUAAUAAAAAUAAUUUUAAUUUAUUAAUAUUUUAAUGGGGGUUAAAGUAUUUUUUAAAGAAAAAAUUUAUAAGUUUAUAGUUAAUUAGUAUUGUGAAAGAAUUUUGAAAUAUUUGAAAAUAAAUUUUUAUUAAAGUAAAUUUUAUUUAUUGUAUCUUGUGUAUCAGAGUUUAUUAAAAAUUUUUAAUUUAGUGGUUAAUUUCUCGAAUUUAAAAGAGUUAAAUAAUUAAUAAAGUUAUUGUAGCAAAAUUAUUUUAAAUAAUUAUUUUGAAAUGAAAUGUUAUUCGUUUUUAAAUAUAUCUAGUUUUUAUAGAAAAAAAUUUAAUUUUAAAUUUAUUAAAUAAUUUAAUUAAUUUGUUAAUUAAAUUAUUAAUUUAAAUUUUAUAAUUUAAGGGAUAAGCUUUAAAUUAAACUAUUAUAAUAUAAUUUUUAAUUUUUGAAAAUUUUAUAAUUUAUAUUGUUAAUAAAUUUUAUUUUAUUAUAAAUAAUUUCAUAUUUAAUAAAAUUUAAAAAAUUAUAUUUAAUUUUUUAUAUAAAUAUUAUUUAAAAUUAAAAAAAUUUAGAAAUAAUGAUAAAAUUAGUAUAUUAUUUAUUAUUUAAUUUUAAGUUUUUAUUAAUAAUUAAAUUAAUUAAAAGGAAUUCGGCAAAUAUUUAUUUUCACUUGUUUAUCAAAAACAUGUCUUUUUGUAUUAUAUUUAAAGUCUAAUCUGCCCACUGAUUUAAUAAAUUAAAGGGCUGCAGUAUUUUGACUGUACAAAGGUAGCAUAAUCAUUAGUCUCUUAAUUGGUGACUUGUAUGAAAGAUUGAAUGAGAAAUAUACUGUCUCUUAUUUAUUAUAUAGAAUUUAAUUUUUUAUUUAAAAAGUUAAAAUAAAUUAAAAAGACGAGAAGACCCUAUAGAGUUUUAUAAAUAUUUUUAUUAAAAAAUUAUUUAUAUUAUAAUUAAAUAUUAUUAUAAAAUUAUUUAUUUUGUUGGGGUGAUAAAAAAAUAAAUAAAACUUUUUUUAAAAGUUUAACAAAAAUAAUUGAAUAUUUGAUCCAUUAAUAAUGAUUAUAAGAUUAAAUUACCUUAGGGAUAACAGCGUAAUUUUUUUUUUUAGUUCAAAUAAGAAAAAAAGUUUGCGACCUCGAUGUUGGAUUAAGAUAAAAUUUAAAUGCAAAAGUUUAAAAUUUUUGAUCUGUUCGAUCAUUAAAAUCUUACAUGAUCUGAGUUCAAACCGGUGUGAGCCAGGUUGGUUUCUAUCUUUUAAAAUAUAAAAUAUUUUAGUACGAAAGGAUCAAAUAUUUUAAUUAAAUUAUUUAAUUUUUGAAUUUUAUUAAUAUAAAAUUAAAAUUUUUUUAUUUUUUAAAUAUGGUAUA